This 374-nucleotide unclassified non-coding RNA is filed under the name fungal sp. RNAcentral describes it as "partial internal transcribed spacer region". The stretch from base 1 to 46 matches the Rfam family "Eukaryotic small subunit ribosomal RNA", at positions 1786 to 1831 of the family's 1831-position model. Lineage: Eukaryota; Fungi. The record is from RNAcentral.
AAGUCGUAACAAGGUUUCCGUAGGUGAACCUGCGGAAGGAUCAUUGAUGAACAAAUUUGGUGCAAGGGAACUUCGUGGUCCCUUCGCACACAAUAACCUGUGCACUUGCCAGUGUUUGGUUACCUCAGGGUACCAUCCUUCUUUCGGGGAAUGACACGUUGAUUUAUUGCGGGUGUGUGUGGAGCGUUAGUUGAUAACACUGCACCUACAACUGCUUUAGAUCUAGUUCCCCAGAAGGAUUUACCCAGACGGGGUGGCCGAUCUUUUAGUAACCAUGUAUUCAAACAAUGCCUGAUCUUUAUCUGUACCUUCAUUGGAACAGAGAAAAUGUUUAAAGUAAAAUACAACUUUCAACAAUGGAUCUCUUGGCUCUC